AAAGGCCACUGUGGGGAUCUAUACCAUACAUGAGUUUUCUGUGAUCACUCAUCAACAUGGAAGGGAGAGGCUGUGUGUUGUGUCUCCUUGUAGGAUUCUUUCUAGUGUCUGUGGCUGGAGCCCUGCAGUGUCGGGCUGUGCCUGGCAGUCUGAAGCA
This is a non-coding RNA of Lepisosteus oculatus (spotted gar), 157 nucleotides long. Lineage: Eukaryota; Metazoa; Chordata; Actinopteri; Semionotiformes; Lepisosteidae. The record is from RefSeq and is a predicted model, not a curated record.